GACAGAGGGUGCAAACGUUGUUCGGAAUUACUGGGCGUAAAGCGCGUGUAGGCGGCUAAGUAAGUCGGGCGUGAAAUCCCACGGCUCAACCGUGGAAGUGCACUCGAAACUGCAUAGCUAGAGUCCCGGAGAGGCGGGUGGAAUUCCUGGUGUAGCGGUGAAAUGUGUAGAGAUCAGGAGGAACACCGGUGGCGUAGGCGGCCCGCUGGACGGAGACUGACGCUGAGGCGCGAAAGCGUGGGGAGCAAACAGG
RNAcentral lists this ribosomal RNA (253 nucleotides) under uncultured bacterium. RNAcentral describes it as "partial 16S ribosomal RNA". It matches the Rfam family "Bacterial small subunit ribosomal RNA", at positions 524 to 776 of the family's 1533-position model. The record is from RNAcentral.